Drosophila yakuba is the source of this 729-nucleotide long non-coding RNA. RefSeq lists it as uncharacterized. Lineage: Eukaryota; Metazoa; Arthropoda; Insecta; Diptera; Drosophilidae. The record is from RefSeq and is a predicted model, not a curated record. The transcript is spliced from 2 exons.
CAGUUCGGCCUUUCUCAGCUGUAAUUUUGGAAAAAACGUCGCAAAGCAGAAACUUUAUUUAGUCUGCGAAGGCAGGACCAAUUAACGUUAUUUUAAACCAAACAGUUAGGCUAUUAUUGUGCGCAAGUUUAACAAGUGAAAUGGGCAAAUGCAAGUGCAUGGUGUUGUUGUACUACGACUAGUAUUAGUACGUAAACCGUAAUAGACGUACUACUAUUGGCUAUGUGGCCAUCCCUUUCCCACUUGCAGAUGCAGCAGACAGGAUCAUUGAUUUUUAUGCUCCUGGCAGAGAGAGCGAAGAGCAUGCGCCGGGCGAUGGAAGUGGCGCGUGUCAAUGCACCGCAUUUCUACCGCUCUCUCUCAUCCCACAAACGGUUCCUUCCAGACGCCGCGAGAAAGAGAGAGGGAGCGCGAGAGCAGACAGCAGCUGCAGUUUUUGUGUAUGCACCUCAUUCCCACUCCGCCCUCACCUUCCCCUUCUCUCAUUUGCGCCUUACCUGCUUCUCAUUCGGCUGAAGAGAAGCAGCUCGAAAUAUCCUGAAGUCGGUUAUCACAAAAGGUAAUCCCAAGUUGAUUGUCUUCACAGACUAAAUAUCUAUAGAAAGUGUCAAUCUUAUCGUUCAUUUUAUGAUAAGCUUUGUAAGAUCUUUAGGAUUGAUAGCCCCUAUAAAAAGGUUAGUAAUGUAACCGACUCAAUACCAAUAACUAAAGAACAACAGAACUAAAGCA